AUUGAACGCUGGCGGCAUGCCUUACACAUGCAAGUCGAACGGUAACAGGUCUUCGGAUGCUGACGAGUGGCGAACGGGUGAGUAAUACUUCGGAACGUGCCCGAUCGUGGGGGAUAACGGAGCGAAAGCUUUGCUAAUACCGCAUACGAUCUACGGAUGAAAGCAGGGGACCUCAAGGCUUUGCGCGGACGGUGCGGCCGCUGGCAGAUUAGUUAGUUGGUGGGUUAAAGGCUUACCAAGGCGACGAUCUGUAGCUGGACUGAGAGGAUGACCAGCCACACUGGGACUGAGACACGGCCCAGACUCCUACGGGAGGCAGCAGUGGGGAAUUUUGGACAAUGGGCGAAAGCCUGAUCCAGCCAUGCCGCGUGCAGGAUGAAGGCCUUCGGGUUGUAAACUGCUUUUGUACGGAACGAAAAGACUCUUUCUAAUAAAGAGGGUCCAUGACGGUACCGUAAGAAUAAGCACCGGCUAACUACGUG
RNAcentral lists this ribosomal RNA (482 nucleotides) under uncultured bacterium. RNAcentral's name for it is "partial 16S ribosomal RNA". It matches the Rfam family "Bacterial small subunit ribosomal RNA", at positions 30 to 507 of the family's 1533-position model. The record is from RNAcentral.